GCUCAAAGUCAUUGUUUAUUUUGGUGUUUCAGAUUUUAUAUAAAACAUUGAUGGUUUGCAUUCUCAAUCGGUUUGUACAAGUCGUGUAGCAUCUAUGGAUCAAAAUUUGGUAUUAUCUGGAUAGUUGGGUGUGCUAAGUGUAUACAAAAAUUUGUGUUAAUCUAACGAUGCAAUCAAGAGAUAUCUGGGUUUUAGUACAAAGGGUUGUCGGAAGUU
Molecule: long non-coding RNA, 216 nt
Filed under: Physcomitrium patens
Lineage: Eukaryota; Viridiplantae; Streptophyta; Bryopsida; Funariales; Funariaceae
Description: long non-coding RNA (PPAT_LNC004889)
Source: RNAcentral